This 3399-nucleotide long non-coding RNA is filed under the name Homo sapiens (human). Its description in RNAcentral is "non-protein coding lnc-ROPN1B-13:3". The record is from RNAcentral. Lineage: Eukaryota; Metazoa; Chordata; Mammalia; Primates; Hominidae.
GAAGGAGGCGGAGGCUCUGGGAGCUGGUAGCUGGGCGACUGGCUGAUGGGCGAGGGAGGGCGAGGGAGGGCGCCGCAACGGAACGAGGAACCCGGACAGUGAAGGAGGAAGAAACAAAGGAGCCAGCAGCACUAGAGAGUUCCCUUCUGGAUCUGAGUUUGACUGUUCCAUUCAGCAUCCAAAGAGAGAGGAGGACAUAUUGUUUGAAUAAGGAAGGUAAAGAAAUGUACUUUUUUGAAAGCCAUCAAAGAAGGAUGUGUACUUCAUCUCUGUGCCUUCCCUACCAGUCUAGCUGGGUAAGAGAUGAGGGUGCCCUGCCCAUGGAGAGAAGCUGCGUAUGCAUAGUGGUCAAGAUCAUGGUCUCUUCUAUCAGACUGACACGCAGAUUCCACUCCCUGUGACCUUAGGCAAGUUACCUAACCUCUUUGUGCCUGUUUCAUCACCUAUAAAAUAGGAGUAACUGUGUUACUCCCCAAAUUUCUACAAUGAAGGCCUAACUUCUAUGCAAUGGUAUUUGGAGAUAGGGCCUUUGGGAGACACUUACGUUUUGAUGAGGUCCUAAUGAUUGGAUUAGUGCCCUUGUAAGAAGAGACACCAGAAAGCUAGCAUGUACCAUGCCCCAGCCCUCACCACCCCUGCCAUGUGAGGGCACUUGGAGAAGACAGCUACCUGCAACCUAGGAAAAGAGCCGCCAUCAGAAACUGACCAUGCUGGUAUCUUGACCUUGGACUAUCAGCCGCCAGAACUGUGAAAAAAUAAAUUGCUGUUGUUUAAGCCACCUAGUCUAUGGUAUUUUGCUAUGGCAGCCAAGCCAGUCUCUCUCUUUGAGGGGUUGUCAGCAUUAAAUGAAACGACUCAUGUCAUUUAAGGCACUUAGACUCUGGUCUGACGCAGGAUGAGCUAAGUGUUCAGCAACUGUUAGCCAUUGUUUAGAAGGGUAGGGCUACCUGCUAAGUAAAACGAAUGUUGGUGUUUGGUGAGGGCACCCUUCUGCUAGGGACAUCUCUGAAGACACAUCAAACAACAUAUUUCUGAAGACAUUCAACAUAUUUCUGUGGGAGAAUGCCAGCUUUGUCUCCCAAAUGCAAUGGAGUUUUCAAGUUAGGAAUUCUAAUCAAAAGAGACCCAUCAGAGUAUGUACAAUAAAUGUAGAAUUCUAAGAACAUUACCUGAAAUCACCCAGUUUGUGGGUGUCAGUGUGAAAAUGUAGAUACCUAAGGCCAUGUCUGCUUCAGUGUCAUCUCCUCCUAGAGACCUUCCCUGACCACUCUAUACAGAGUAGCAGUUCCUACCCAUUACACUCUAUCCCUUUACUGUGCUUUAGUUUUCUUCAUAGCACUUGACAUUUUUUUUUUUUUUUUUUUUUUUUUUUUCUGAGAGGGAGUCUCCUCUGUUGCCCAGGCUGGAGUGUGAUGGCAUGAUCUUGCCUCACUGCAACCUCUGCCUCCUGGGUUCAAGCCAUUCUCCUGCCUCAGCCUCCCAAGUAGCUGGGAUUACAGGCACCCGCCACCAUGCCCGGCUAAUUUUUGUAUUUUUAGUAGAGGCGAGGUUUUGCCAUGCUGGCCAGGCUGGUCUCGAACUCCUGACCUCAGGUGAUCCACCCGCCUUGGCUUCCCAAAGGGCUGGGAUUACAGGCCUGAGCCACUGCGCCUGGCCAACAUUAUAUGCUUUGUUAUGCAUUGUCUGUCUCCUUACUAGAAUGUAAGCUCUGUGAAGAAAGACUUGGUUCUUUUUUUUCCCCACUACAGUGUCCCCAAUACUUGACCAUUGCUUGACACAUUUGUUGAAUGAGUGGAUGAAUUUAUUACAGUGGUUAAGAACAUGAACUUUGGCACAAGCCUUCAAAUCCUGGCUCUGCCACUUAGUGCACGUGAUCCUGGGGAGGUUACUUGCCUUGGUAAGCCUCAGUUUUUUCAUCUGUAAAAUGGAAAAAUAGGAUGAAAUAAACGUGUAGAAGGCCAGGCAUGAUGGCUCACACCUGUAAUCCCAGCACUUUGGGAGGCCAAGGCAGGUAAUUGUUUGAGCCUAGAAAUUCAAGAUCAGACUUGACAACAUGGUGAAACCCCAUCUCUACAAAAUAAUACAAAAAUUAUGGGGCCAGGAGUGGUGGCUCACACCUGUAAUCCCAGCACUUUGAGAGGCCGAGAAGGGAGGAUCACUUGAAGUCAGGAGUUUGAGACCAGCCUGGCCAACAUGGUGAAACUCCAUCUCUACUACAAAUACAAAAACUAGCCGGGCAUGGUGGUAUGCACCUGUAGUCCCAGCUACUCGGGAGGCUGAGGCAUGAGAAUUGCUUCAACCCAGGAGAAGGAGGUUGCAGUGAGCUGAGAUCGCACCACUGCACUCCAGCCUGGGUGACAGAGCGAAACUCCAUCUCAAAAAAAAAAAAAAAAAUUAGCUGGGUGAGGUGGCAUGUGCCUGUAGUCCCAGCUACUAGGUAAGCUGAGGAGGGAGGAUUGCUUGAGUCAGAGGUUGCAGUGAGCCAAGACUGUGCCAUUGCACUUUAGCUAACCUGGGUGACAGAGCGAGACCCUGUCUCAAAAAAAAAAAAAAAAAAAAAAAAAAAAAAAAAAAAAAGAGUGCCUGAUGUCUAGUGCACUAGAACAAAUGCUGCCUGUUUUUAUUUUCUCUCUCUAACCCUGACAUGCAAGAAAGGGAAGUAUGAUUAGUUUCCUUGAAGCACAAGAACCCGCAGCUGGAAUGAAUGGGAGGAUAGGCCACAGAGAAACUCGGGGCAGGGUAGCAGGGAGCAGGGGUGCGGGAAACAGUGCUAAUCCCAUGAGAGGAGGGCAACACAGGGAGGAAUGCAGCCAGGAAAAAAGUUCCCACUGAGAAUAAGGUUGUGAACCCAGAAUUUCUUAAAAAAAGAAAACGAGACCGGGCGUUGCGGUUCACACCUGUAAUCCCAGCACUUUGGGAGGCCAAGGUGAGUGGAUCACCUGAGGUCCAGAGUUCGAGACCAGCCUGACGAACAUGGGGAAACCCCCGUCUCUACUAAAAAUACAAAAUUAGCCAGGCGUGGUGGCGCAUGCCUGUAAUCCCAGCCACUCAGGAGGCUGGGGCAGAAGAAUCGCUUGAACCCAGGAGGCGGAGGUUGCAGUGAGCCAAGAUUGCACCAUUGCAUUUCAGCCUGGGCAACAAGAGCAAAACUCCGUCUCAAAAGAAAAAAAAAAAAAAAAAGAAAGAAAAGGAAGAAAGACAUUCUGAGAAGACAAAGUGUUCACAUUGAUAAUAGGUUUUACUACUUUGCUGAAACAGAGUUUCAAUUAAUCAAGAGAUCCUCUACCUCCCACCACACUCGCCUGCAGUUUAGGCAGAAAUCCUUUUGUGAUUUCCCACUCUGAUGGAGUGAUUCAGCUAAAGGGCUCCAAGAGAGCAGCAUUUCUCUUCAAACACUCC